Molecule: long non-coding RNA, 144 nt
Organism: Maniola jurtina (meadow brown)
Lineage: Eukaryota; Metazoa; Arthropoda; Insecta; Lepidoptera; Nymphalidae
Exons: 3
Source: RefSeq, a predicted model, not a curated record
UGUCAAGUUUGUAAGUGUGUGGUUCAAGCUACGGCUGAAACCUAAAUAUCCGUUUUUUUACCCUUCGGGGGAAAAACGGUUCUAUUUAGGUGUUCGAGCCUACGCUUGAACCACAUGUGAGACGUGUUUAUUAUCUGCCGGCGC